Unclassified non-coding RNA from Ursus americanus (American black bear), 295 nucleotides. Its record names the gene 7SK. It matches the Rfam family "7SK RNA". From Rfam's summary of the family: 7SK was discovered as an abundant small nuclear RNA in the mid-70s but a possible function has only recently been suggested. The record is from Ensembl. Lineage: Eukaryota; Metazoa; Chordata; Mammalia; Carnivora; Ursidae.
AGAUGUGAGGGCAAUCUGGCUAUGACAUCUAGUCACCGCAUCAUCACCAGGGUUGAUGCGGCUGAUCUGGCUGGAUAGACGGGGAUCCCCUUCCUCCCUCACCGCUCCAUCUGUAUCCCUCCUGAAGCUGUGCGAACUCUGUCAAAGAGGACGACCUUCCCCCAGUAGAAGAGGACAGAUCUUCGGUCAAGGGCGUACCCGUAGCUGCGCUCCCCCGUUGACACCUCCCAACAAGCUCUCAAGAUAUGGAACAGUUCUAUUGUUCAAAAAAAGUCUCUCUCAUGCUACCUUUGUA